This 103-nucleotide non-coding RNA is filed under the name uncultured Nitzschia. The record is from RNAcentral. Lineage: Eukaryota; Bacillariophyta; Bacillariophyceae; Bacillariales; Bacillariaceae.
ACGAAAAAGAGAAAGCGGAAAAAGAAGAAGAUUUCGUUUUUCAUUUUUCUUUCCUUGCUCUAUUACUUUUUUUUUGGAUUGGUUUCAAUUUUUUUUCUGUCAC